GGGGGACAACCAUCCGAAAGGAUGGCUAAUGCCGCAUGAGUUCUACGGAAGAAAGAGGGGGACCUGCCUGCAGGCCUCCCGCGAGCGGAGCGGCCGAUGACUGAUUAGCCGGUUGGUGAGGUAACGGCUCACCAAAGCAACGAUCAGUAGCUGGUCUGAGAGGACGACCAGCCACACUGGGACUGAGACGCGGCCCAGACUCCUACGGGAGGCAGCAGUGGGGAAUUUUGGACAAUGGGCGCAAGCCUGAUCCAGCUAUUCCGCGUGUGGGAUGACGGCCCUCGGGUUGUAAACCACUUUAGUAGAGAACGAAAAGGAGCUAUCGAAUAAAUAGCUCUGCUGACGGUACUCUAAGAAUAAGCACCGGCUAACUACGUGCCAGCAGCCGCGGUAAUACGUAGGGUGCGAGCGUUAAUCGGAAUUACUGGGCGUAAAGGGUGUGCAGGCGGCUGAGUAAGACAGAUGUGAAAUCCCCGGGCUUAACCUGGGAACCGCAUAUGUGACUGCUUGGCUAGAGUGCGUCAGAGGGAGGUGGAAUUCCACGUGUAGCAGUGAAAUGCGUAGAUAUGUGGAAGAACACCGAUGGCGAAGGCAGCCUCCUGGGACGCAACUGACGCUCAUACACGAAAGCGUGGGGAGCAAACAGGAUUAGAUACCCUGGUAGUCCACGCCCUAAACGAUGUCAACUAGUUGUUGGGGAUUAAAAUUCUCAGUAACGCAGCCAACG
This 727-nucleotide ribosomal RNA is filed under the name uncultured bacterium. RNAcentral describes it as "bacterial SSU rRNA". It matches the Rfam family "Bacterial small subunit ribosomal RNA", at positions 138 to 857 of the family's 1533-position model. The record is from RNAcentral.